Molecule: ribosomal RNA, 502 nt
Filed under: uncultured bacterium
Lineage: Bacteria
Description: partial 16S ribosomal RNA
Rfam family: Bacterial small subunit ribosomal RNA
Source: RNAcentral
GACGAACGCUGGCGGCGUGCCUAAUACAUGCAAGUCGAACGAACCGCGACUAAGUGCUUGCACUAAGUCAAGGUGAGUGGCGAACGGGUGAGUAACACGUGGGUAACCUACCUCAUAGUGGGGGAUAACAGUCGGAAAAGACUGCUAAUACCGCAUAGGACAUAGGAUCACAUGAUCCAGUGAGGAAAGGUGGCGCAAGCUAUCGCUAAGAGAUGGACCCGCGGUGCAUUAGCUAGUUGGUAGGGUAAAGGCCUACCAAGGCGAUGAUGCAUAGCCGACCUGAGAGGGUGAUCGGCCACAUUGGGACUGAGACACGGCCCAAACUCCUACGGGAGGCAGCAGUAGGGAAUCUUCCGCAAUGGACGCAAGUCUGACGGAGCAACGCCGCGUGAGUGAAGAAGGUCUUCGGAUCGUAAAGCUCUGUUGUUAGAGAAGAACAGCGCAUAGAGUAACUGCUAUGCGUGUGACGGUAUCUAACCAGAAAGCCACGGCUAACUACGUG